This 254-nucleotide ribosomal RNA is filed under the name uncultured bacterium. RNAcentral describes it as "partial 16S ribosomal RNA". It matches the Rfam family "Bacterial small subunit ribosomal RNA", at positions 524 to 776 of the family's 1533-position model. The record is from RNAcentral.
GACGUAGGGCGCGGAGCGUUGUCCGGAUUUAUUGGGCGUAAAGAGCUCGUAGGCGGCUUGUCGCGUCGAAUGUGAAAACUCGGGGCUCAACUCCGAGCUUGCAUUCGAUACGGGCAGGCUAGAGUUCGGUAGGGGAGACUGGAAUUCCUGGUGUAGCGGUGAAAUGCGCAGAUAUCAGGAGGAACACCAAUAGCGAAGGCAGCUCGCUGGGACGUUACUGACACUGAGGCGCGAAAGCGUGGGGAGCGAACAGG